AGUGAACGCUGGCGGCGUGCUUAACACAUGCAAGUCGAACGAGAACGGAUUAUAGCCGGCUAUAAUUGUCAGCUAAGUGGCGCACGGGUGAGUAAUGUAUAGUUAAUAUGCCUCUUACUAAGGGAUAACAAAUGGAAACGUUUGCUAAUACCUUAUACUCCUUAUUAACAGAAGUUAAUAAGGGAAAGAUUUAUUGGUAAGAGAUUAGCCUGUAUUGUAUCAGUUAGUUGGUGGGGUAAUGGCUUACCAAGACUAUGACACAUAACUGGUUUGAGAGGAUGAUCAGUCACACUGGAACUGAGACACGGUCCAGACUCCUACGGGAGGCAGCAGUGGGGAAUAUUGCACAAUGGACGAAAGUCUGAUGCAGCAACGCCGCGUGGAGGAUGACACAUUUCGGUGCGUAAACUCCUUUUAUAUGAGAAGAUAAUGACGGUAUUAUAUGAAUAAGCACCGGCUAACUCCGUGCCAGCCGCCGCGGUAA
This 484-nucleotide ribosomal RNA is filed under the name uncultured bacterium. RNAcentral's name for it is "partial 16S ribosomal RNA". It matches the Rfam family "Bacterial small subunit ribosomal RNA", at positions 29 to 523 of the family's 1533-position model. The record is from RNAcentral.